GCCCGUGAAGCCCGUACCCUUCCAUGGUAAGGAAGGGGUCGUCGGUUCGAGUCCGACAGAGGGCU
RNAcentral lists this transfer RNA (65 nucleotides) under Solirubrobacterales bacterium. RNAcentral describes it as "tRNA-Thr". Lineage: Bacteria; Bacillati; Actinomycetota; Thermoleophilia; Solirubrobacterales. The record is from RNAcentral.